Molecule: long non-coding RNA, 1177 nt
Filed under: Mytilus galloprovincialis (Mediterranean mussel)
Lineage: Eukaryota; Metazoa; Mollusca; Bivalvia; Mytilida; Mytilidae
Source: RNAcentral
GGGCUUUUCAAGGUCUCAGUUUGAACAUAUUUGAGUACAUAACACCUAAAAAUAAGGUUCUACAUGGACGGUCAGAUACUGCCGUUCAUUACACAGGCAUGAUGGGUUUCAACUUCAAAGUUUAAAAAUUCUGGAAAAAGGGGGGCCAGAAACGGCCCUUAUCAUACCUUGUCCUUUCUAAAGGAAUAUAUGCAUACUUUGUCAAAACCACGAAAUUAAACAUCCACGAAUAUGCAAGUUUUCCUCCAACCAAGAAAAUUGGUACCCACGAAAAUAAAUGAAUCCACAGUAAUUGAUAAAUAUAUUUGGUAUUAAUAGAAAUGUCUUUCCAGUCGUCUCUUUAUUGGUAAAUGUCUACAAUUAUCUUCAAUUACACACGUGUGGUUUUAUUGACUUGAGGUCACGAACUACUUAAACUUAUGACAAAAGUAAUGUAAAUUUGCCUAAACUAUAUUGUUAAAGAUACAAAUACACUUUGUAUUUAUAAAUAGCUGAUAAAGAAAUUAUUGUUUGUCAAAGCAUGUGACUAUGCAAUUUGAUUCCAGGACACAUCUUAUCAGCUGUCGAUUACUAAAGUCAUAUUUCACACUUGUACUCAUUAUGUUUCACAAGCGUAACAAGACUUAAAAACUUCAAAAUUACUAUAUAUAUAUAUCAUGUAUAUUAAUUUGAUAUUUUCCGGAGAUGAUUUGAAUUGAAACAAAGUAAUGUCAAAGUGUCUUAAGAAGAUGCAUCGUGACGAUAACUAUUGUUAUAAAAUAUUAUAGAAAUAGCCAAAACUUUCACAAAUCACACAUAGAAAUUGGAAAUUUUCAUAUGCAAUUCAUUUACGUCCGUUUAAAUUUCAAACGAAUAUUUUAAAAUACCAUUGUCAAGUAAAUGCCGGUAAAUGUGCUGAUUCCAAUGAAUUUGAUAUACUUUUUCAAACACAAUUACAAUUCGUUUGGGGACAAAAGUCGAUUACAAAUGAUCGAAUAUAAAUAUUCAAUAAAGUGAUAUUUUUUUGUUUAUCGAUACAAAAUAGACAAAAGGGAAUCACAUAACCCCUGAAACUGAUCAAAACAGGGAAAGUCGACAUGAUCAUCAGAUGGACACAAAGACAGAAUGUAACAAUCAGGAAUAUGAUGAAAUCAUAUGUUUAUUAAAUUUCCUGUCUAAAACAGUGAGAAUGUCGCUC